CAGCACUUCUCUAUCUGUCCACAGUGGAUCAUAUAACCCAAACACGAUCAUAUCAUAUAACCCAAACACCAGUAUCCAACAAAAACAAAAGAUUGAUUUACGCUGUUAAGUUUAUCAACAUCACCGAAUUAAAUUCGAGUAAUUAAUUAAUUUAAUCCACCUCAGCUAAAACCCUAGUAAAUCAAAUUUCAUCUUGAAAAUCUCGAUCUCAAGUUUUUUCUGUUUUUCCAUCCGGUCCAUACAAUGGUGGUCUGUAAAUGCCGCAAGGUAUGACAAGAUAUAC
This 283-nucleotide long non-coding RNA is filed under the name Olea europaea subsp. europaea. Lineage: Eukaryota; Viridiplantae; Streptophyta; Magnoliopsida; Lamiales; Oleaceae. The record is from RNAcentral.